Rhincodon typus (whale shark) is the source of this 445-nucleotide non-coding RNA. The record is from the annotation of a RefSeq genome assembly. NCBI's taxonomy places the organism in Eukaryota, Metazoa, Chordata, Chondrichthyes, Orectolobiformes, Rhincodontidae.
UGUUCACAUUCAUCGCGAUCUCUCUGCAAGCAUGUUGCCUGAAGCUCUGUACUUAUUCCUCAAUGCUGCAGUUCUUCUUACCGGACUUUGUCGAGGCGAUUCUGUCUCACAAACACCGUUUGUAAUCAUAGUGACUGAGGGAGAUGAUGUCCAGUUGUUUUGUAAUUACACUGCUGCAGCAAGCGACGAUGCUAACCUGUUCUGGUACCGUCAGAAAACCAGCGGAUCCAUGGAGUAUCUGGUACAGAGAAGCCAAUAUAUCAGGAACACGGAAAGAUUUCCAGGAGAUCGGCUUUCCUCGGAUUUUGACCAUGUGAACCGCACUAUCCAGCUGAAAGUGCUGAAAACAGAACUGACAGACUCCGCAGUGUAUUACUGCGCUCUGAGACCCACAGAGACUCAGGACAAGGGUAACUCUGCAGAAAAAGUGUCAGAACGUAACUGA